AGUGAACGCUGGCGGCAGGCCUAAUACAUGCAAGUCGAACGGCAGCACAGUGGAGCUUGCUCCAUGGGUGGCGAGUGGCGGACGGGUGAGGAAUACAUGGGAAUCUGCCCAGUCGUGGGGGAUAACGUAUGGAAACGUACGCUAAUACCGCAUGCGCCCUUCGGGGGAAAGUCGGGGACCGCAAGGCCUGACGCGAUUGGAUGAGCCCAUGUUCGAUUAGCUAGUUGGCGGGUAACGGCCCACCAAGGCGACGAUCGAUAGCUGGUCUGAGAGGAUGAUCAGCCACACUGGAACUGAGACACGGUCCCAGACUCCCUACGGGGAGGCAGCAGUAGGGAAUAUUGGACAAUGGGACGCAAGCCUGAUCCAGCCAUGCCGCGUGAGUGAAGAAGGCCCUCGGGUUGUAAA
Molecule: ribosomal RNA, 408 nt
Filed under: uncultured bacterium
Lineage: Bacteria
Description: bacterial SSU rRNA
Rfam family: Bacterial small subunit ribosomal RNA
Source: RNAcentral